UGGGGAAUAUUGGACAAUGGGCGCAAGCCUGAUCCAGCAAUGCCGCGUGUGUGAAGAAGGCCUUCGGGUUGUAAAGCACUUUUAUCAGGAGCGAAACGCUGUCGGCUAAUACCCGGCGGAACUGACGGUACCUGAGGAAUAAGCACCGGCUAACUUCGUGCCAGCAGCCGCGGUAAUACGAAGGGUGCAAGCGUUAAUCGGAAUUACUGGGCGUAAAGCGUGCGUAGGCGGUUUCUUAAGUCUGCUGUGAAAUCCCCGGGCUCAACCUGGGAAUGGCAGUGGAUACUGGGAGGCUAGAGUGUGUCAGAGGGUGGUGGAAUUCCCGGUGUAGCGGUGAAAUGCGUAGAGAUCGGGAGGAACAUCAGUGGCGAAGGCGGCCACCUGGGACAACACUGACGCUGAGGCACGAAAGCGUGGGGGAGCAAACAGGAUUAGGAUACCCUGGUAGUCCACGCCCUAAAGCGAUGCGAACUGGAUGUUGGUCUCAACUCGGAGAUCAGUGUCGAAGCUAACGCGUUAAGUUCGCCGCCU
This 531-nucleotide ribosomal RNA is filed under the name uncultured bacterium. RNAcentral's name for it is "partial 16S ribosomal RNA". It matches the Rfam family "Bacterial small subunit ribosomal RNA", at positions 355 to 874 of the family's 1533-position model. The record is from RNAcentral.